AACGUGUUUCUGGAGCGGAGGCGAGCUGGUAGGGGAGCCGUGAAUCUGGAGGAUGACCAUCACUCUACCAACAAGGAUUGUAAGUUUGUAUUAACCAAACAAACUGGAAAUAAAGGGCUUAAAAAUAAGACAAACUACAUGUUUGUUACCAGACUUUAGGGCCAGACUCGCUUGUUCCAGACCAGGACUCUGGCUGAGGAGAGCUGAUGGAGGAGCCAAGACUCUGGAGGACGACAUCACUCCACCAACUAGGAUCCUCGAAUCUGGAGGACUGAUGGAGGAGCCAAGACUCUGGAGGACGACAUCACUCCACCAACUAGGAUCCUCGUAAGUUUGCCUAAAAUAAACCGAGUGGACUUGUUGUAACGCAGGAUUAGUUUGU
This 382-nucleotide long non-coding RNA is filed under the name Gadus morhua (Atlantic cod). RNAcentral describes it as "lncRNA (ENSGMOG00000036569.1)". Lineage: Eukaryota; Metazoa; Chordata; Actinopteri; Gadiformes; Gadidae. The record is from RNAcentral.